UUCACAUGGAUAGUGUGAAUGGCUUGAAGAGUAAUCUGUGUGGAAUCCAAUUCAUGUUUCCUUUGAAGUCAACUAAAUAUGCGAUUAAAAAUCUUCCCACAAACUAUUCUUGGGGCCCAUGUCACUUCCACACUGGGUCCUCCCGUCAGCUAAGCUAGAAAUGUUCGUCAUAUACAGGUUAUUCCAAACAAAGAACCAUUUUCAGAAGGUCAACUGCCCAGACAACUAUGACCAUUGAUCAAGAUGGCUGGAUGCAUUCAGAUUGUCAUCCUUGAGUGGCUCCCAGGACAGAGGGGACAACCGAGUCCUGCUUCUCAUGAGUGGCAGGUAAGUGGAGCUACCACAAAAGGCUGGACAUUUCUCCCAGUGACCCAUGACAGCCAGGUUCUUCCUGACCAACACCUCUGAACUUGCUCUACCUUCACCUCACAGCAGCCCCAUUUUGUCUUUCUGAACUACUAACAAACAGCCUGAAAAGACCUCAAUUCUGGAGAGCAAGACCAGCAGUGACUUCCCCAUCACAGAAGGGAACACAGGCUCUUGCUUCUGCCCAGGGAGCCUGGUGGGCCCAGUCCUUACACGUUAUGGCAAGAGGAAUGACUUCAGGACCUGCUCCUCGAGUCAGUCUUUCCUACCUACAGAAGGUGCUGUUGUGACCAGGAUCAACACUGGGUUUUCUAGAACAGUGUUCACAGUUGGUACUAAAGGCAACAAAAGAGCAAAGCAGAGACUUCUGGUGCCAAGUACUCCAGAUGUACUUUCUCUCCCUCUUGGCAUUUCCAGGCCGCAGCACCUAUCAUGGACCUGAGAAACUGCCAAAGCAGAUUUGGAUCUGUCAUGACAAUCUCAGUUCUUUAAGCCUUGCUCUGAGUACAGGCAGUCAGGAUGUGGUUGUAGGUCAUAUAACUAACCCUAGGGACACAGCAGGCAUCAGUUCCCAGGCAUCUGUAACAGGUGCCCUCAUCUCCUGAGGAAUACAGGGCAGAGGAAACAACAUUAUGUCAGUGCUUCUAAGAGUUCAUGCCUCAACUGAGCAAGGGUAACACACAAGUAUUGGGGUAAGCACCAUCCUUGCUAAGACAAGACAGCAGUUCCUUCCCUAAUAAGAGUUUGGGUUGGUUUUUGCUCCAUGUAUAGGCACUUUGCCAAGUCCUGCACUCACCUACUCAUCACCCCCAGAGGAACCCAGAAACUGUAGUGCUCCCCCUCCCUUGGGAAAAGGUUCCUUGACUCUAGAUUUCACAGGUUGAAAUAGUGUCAGUUGCAAGUAGAAUCAGUCUCCCAUGGAUCAGGAACAAGAUGGAUCCCUUGGGACACACAAAUUCCUAGACAGAAAGUAGACUGGAAAGCUUGGUGAUUACAAAGGGCUGAGCUUCCACACCACAGUAUAAAAAGCUGUGUUCCUUCCCCAGACCCUUGUUUCCAUUUAGCUCCAACUUCAAGUUCAGCACAGACUGGGAGAGCCCUCACUUAGUCUAACCUUAGCUGUGCCCACCUCUUUAUCUCUAGAUCAAGGCUAGGAGCACACUUUCCUCCUGCCACUGAUCAAGUUGCAGCCUCUGUUUCCAUUUUCUGCCCAUGAGUGCCAUCUGAUCAUGCUGUAGUUCUCCGAGCCUGCUCUCGGUUUGAGGGCUACCCAAUUCAUGAGUCAUUUCUUUACUCAAUUAAGCCCUUUUAAACCUAAGAUUUUUAACAGAUUGGAAAUUUACUUCAGAUCCUACUUCCAUUUCCAGUGACCCCUACAAGUACCAAGAGACCACAUUAAGCCACCUGCCAGGGCCCAUUGUAUCCAUUGAUCUCUUGCAGUAACAAGCUCUUAGGUGAGUUCCCUCAGCCAAGCUCCAUGGAUUUGUGUGUUGAACCAGGCUUAUCUGAGCAAUUAGCUUGUACGGCAUCUAGAGUCAGACUGGAUCUAGUUAGAAGUCUUUGGUGAGUGUUUUGAUAAUGGAUUUGUCUCAACCUGAGGUGCCUGGGAUUCCAGCUAAUCUGUAAGAAAUAUGGACCUAGAAUUCAGGAAUUCAGAAAUAGCUUAAUCAUCUUACUAGAGACAAUUUAGAAUUAUUACAAUGGGAAAGUUUUAUUUAAAGUUGUCCACUUUGGGGGUGCAUCAGAAAAGGAGGAAUUAAAAGACCCAAAUAAAGCAAUGGAAUGCAUUUUUGAAUUGGUGCUGAGGCAGCUGAAAGAUAAAAGUUGCCUUCCUAAAGGAAUCUUUACAGAAUGCAAGCAAAACAAAAGCUUAAGCAAGUGAGCCUCACUAUAAAAGGACUGCUGACCGAAUUGGCCCAACUGCACACAUCGACUCUUUUGUAUGGUUACAGAUAAUGAAGACACAGAAGUUAAAUGCUUUAACUAAGCAAGAUACUCUAGGCCAGGCCUACCAUAGCCCUCCUCGCUCUCUGGUCCAAGAUCUAGCUGACAGCCAUUGCAGAGGACUUCCCUAAAUGGAGGGGAAGUCCUUAAACCUUGGCCAAGGAAUUCGGAGUACUUUUGGGUGGUUAGGAUCCAAAGCUCCCUGACCUUUAUCAACUUAUUUACACGAUUUUGAAGGUUGACACAGCAUGGAAAGUUGUGACAGGACAAGCCUAGAGAGGAUAUCAGAAACUUCAAAAUCUCACAGAAGGGGCCUAAUGGAUCUGGGAGAAUUGCUGAAAUCCUUUUCCAGUCAGUUCUUACAGGUCUUACACAAGUAUAUUCAAUUGUUCUGCCACAAGAUCUUGCAGACAAAACAGGAACUAGCUUUUGGUUAUACAGCUCAUUGUGAACUCUUGUUGUAAAAUAUUCUGUGCUUAAACAGCUAAAGUAUUCCCAUAGGGAAUGAGACUAUACUGUUAUAUUAAGUGGAUUUUGUCCCGAGAUUAGUUGCCUAACAAAUUGAGAUGGAAAGCUACAGAUGAGACCGAGUUGGUGGCCCUGGCUGCCCAUUUUCAGAGUGGUCUAGAGCAAAGGGGAACCCAAAAAGGCUAACAAGCCUAUUUGUCUCCAAUUACAGAGACCCAGGCCAGAACGGCUUCCAUGCUCUCAUUUGAAACGGUUUCACAAGGUCCUAGAAUCAGGCACCCCUACACUGAGGAUGUCUACCUUCACUGUAAACUAUCACAGUGGGAGACACACUGUACGUCUACAAUAAAAAGUUCUUAGGACUCUGCCCAGGAGCCUACGUGGUAUUCACUCAUAAUUGUCUACAUUAAAAAGGCUAUUUUGCUGGAAAAACCACCAUUGAGGAUUUUUCUAGAAAAUCACUCCCCAUAGUCUUUAUGUGAACAUGGAGAAACAAAUUUAAAAUUGGGGAAUCUUGUACAAUUUUGUGGAUACUAAGUUGCCUUAUCUACCAUAAAUCCCACUUUUACAAACCAACAAACCCUUCAGAAUGAGGUGAGUUCUGUGGUGAGAGGUUCAAAUCACAUCAAGAGGUUCCUACAUUUAAGCCUGUUUGAUAUUGGUGCCAUUUUCAAAACACGUUUUCCUAUAUAUACUCCUAUUGAACUUGCUACAGCAAGACUUUCCUGACAAGCUAACAGGGCAUAGAAAAGUAUCUGAAGAAAAUCUUCUCUAGAUUCCUCUUAGUGAGAGCUACUAUGCUUUCUUAGAAAUGGGAAGACUAAAACUCAGACCUGUAAUACUGACUUCUUUCGUAUCUGGAUGUUUAUGGGCUUCCUAAUUCAAAAUGGUUCAUAGUAACAGGCUUCUGUUGUGUGCAGCAUUCCAGCUGACAGAGGGUCAACGCAUUUGCAUUUACUUAGAAACAAUCGUAUACCUGAACUGUAAUGUCACAUGGCCUCCGGAAGUGCCCUUGCAUUUCCCCCCAGGCAUUGCAUCAAGACUUAGUAACCCUACAGAUUCUCAAAUUCUACGCUCAUUCAGCACAUGAACUAUCAGUCAUUAUGGUCCCCUACUGAAGUGCCCUGAAAUUGGUUGUAUUAUCUUUCACAGCAACUCAAAGAUCAAGGCUUUGAUGGGAAAAUUUUCUUCAGUAGUAGUACACUGGUCAAGGCAUGACUUUGCUACUGAAAGGCUCUUCCCGCCUAAAAGGGCUAGAGUUAGCAAGAGGUUUCCCUGCAAAGGAAACCGCAUAUCUUAGGUCCCCAGUUUUUCCUUAAUAGCCUCACCAUGGUAUCAGCUUACUAGGCACACAGCACCAGUUUCUACCUUGAGAAACAGUCAUAAUCAGGCUUUCAUAGAGGCAUAAAGUAGCUUUAUAACAACCUCCAGCCCUAAGACUUAUGUUCCAUUCCCCUUUCUCCUUCAUUCAUGAAUAUAACAAGCACUCUAAGUUCUCGUCUAAGAAUGUAGGGGAAGACAGGCACAUUGCAUAUUACAGCUUGUAAUUGGACCCAGUAGCCAACCCAUAUCGUAACUACUUCUGUUCACUAGCAGAAGCCAACCUGGGAGAUGCUUCAUCUGAGCUAGUUUUAGGAAGCUGAUUGAAUUGGCAAGUCUCAAGUGCUGGGAGAAGUCUAUUAAAUUCCAAACUCAGCAUUUUUCAGCAAGUAGACUAAUAAAGUCUCUCCUGUUCCUGGAUCUCCAUCUAAAAUGCUACAGCCUACAUAAUCCUGUUCCACCACCUCUAACAAUGCAAGCAACAUUGGAAAUCUUGGCCCCUUGUUGACUUGAGAUGCUCUAUUGGAGGAUUCUGAGCUAAUACUUGUUGAUGGAUCCUAUGUUGAAAGCCAAAAAGGAAUCAGGUCAGGUAGUUUGCCAAAACCCAAGAAGAGUAAAGAAGGGAACUCAUCUCUGAGUUGUCUGCCCAAGGUACAGGAACCCAUGUUCUCACUCAAGCUUGUCACACAGAUCAGGACAAAAGUAUUUAUGUAGGUAGAUGGACUUGAGUAAUCCAGGAUUUGGAUAUAUUGUGGAAACAAAGAGGGCUUCUCACUGAUUGGAGAAUCCCAUCAAAAACAGACUCUAAAGUGAUGAACCCCGGGUCCAGUGCCAUGGCACAGUGGGUUAAAGCCCUGGCCUGAAGCACAAGCAUCCCAUAUGGGUGCCGGUUCUAGUCCUGGCUGCUCCUCUUCCCAUCCAGCUCUCUGCUAUAGCCUGGGAAAGCAGAUGGCGGCCCAGGUCCUUGGGCCCCUGCACCCACAUGGGAGACCCCAAAGAAGCUCCCGGCUCCUGGCUUCUGAUUGGCUCAGCUCUGGCCAUUACAGCUAUCUGGAGAGUGAACCAGCAGAUGCAAGACUUCUAUCUCUGCCUUUAAAAAAAAAAAAAGAUACAGUAAAUCUUAAAGAGACGAAUUCCUUUCUGCUGUCCUGUUUGCUGCCAUAAGCUUCAGUGGAGAUUGAAAGUCAUGCUUGUACCUGAAAACCCAGACCUUAUCAAGGAAAUGCUAUGUCAUUUUAUGCUGAAUCAGUGUGAAACUGAGGACACUCAAUUUGAAUAAACUGUAAGGUUGACUCAAGUCUUAACAGUGCAAUAUCAAAACUUGGAAAAAUAAAGUUAGCAUCUGAAAGAUUAUAAAUGAUAGAAACAUGAACUCAAAGAGGGCCUACUUGGACCUUCCCGAGUUCUUAAACCUGCUAUGAGAUACACACUCCAUAUUUCAUCAUGGAACACAAUGAUCAAGUUAUGAGAAGAUAUUGGUGCAGUGACUUUCAAAAGUCACUAACGCAGAUAUAACUGGUGUUUGGUUUGUCAAGCCCAUAAUUCUGGGUGUAUGGGAAAAAUAAACUUCAGUUGGUGUAUUUCAGCCAACCAGUGGGUGAGAUGAACAUAUGCAAUAGAUUUUGUAAGGCUGAAGCUGGCCACCUGAUCAAUGCAUGUUCAUGUGAGUGUGGAUCUAGUCGAGGUAGCUGUAUUCUCCCUUUAACAGAUGCUACCUGUGCUGCAGGCUGGAGUUCAACCUGUUCUGAUCGAAGACGGCCUAACUGAUCAAAUCACCAUUCAUUAAACACCAUUAAACUGAAUUUGUCUAAGGUUACUCGUUUUGAUACUUCCCUUCGUGUCAAAUUUCCUUGCUGCCCGCAAAUGAUAUUUUAGGUCGGUAGCCUCUUAACUCACUUGAAAUGCAUUGGAAUUUGACAUUCAGAUUCAAGAUAUUGAGGACAACGCUUUAAAAAUAAAAAUCAAAGCUUUAUUAGUGCUUCACUAAGAACUCAGCAAUAUGCAAAAGAGCAAAACUCAAACCAUCAGAAUAACAUUCCAAUUAGGGAUCAAUUCUCUUCACUCUUUGGAAAGAAUAUAAAAACAGAAGAUGGUAGAAACAGAUAUCUAACGGGUCAGUUUAUAUUCAUAUGAAAAUUUGUUUGAAAUAAUCCCAAACAUUUGCUUAUCUGCCAUUUCUUUCCAGUCACAACAGUAACUUGAACACAUUUAGGUCUCAGCCCUGGGCAACACCCAGAGUCCCAAGCCCUCAGGACUUCAUUGCUAUCAUCGAUCUCUACCAGAGAUGCUGGUGAGAAUGACUGUUCAUCGUGAAAGUUGGAGAUGCAUCCCUAGAUGCACACUUGUACAGAAGGCAGGCAUGAUAGUUCUCUAAGCUUCCGGCACUUAAGACGGAGAUGAAUCAACUGUUCUGAUUUUGUGCGGUGACAAAGGAUUUUCAAGCUUACGUUGGCUUCCUUACUAGAGGUGUUCACUCUCACUGUGGGGACAACACAGAAACCACGCAUCAGCAAGCUUCUUCAGAGCAGUCAGCAAUGUUCUUUCAGCUGAAGGGAGACAUUGUGACUCAGAAUCCAAAUGAAAGAAUCCUCCCCUACACGUCUGGGCAAGCCAAGAGCCCUCCGAGAUGUGGCUACUCAUGUGGACUAACAUUGGCCAUCUUCCAUUCCACUUGCGUAACAGGCAUUUGAAGACCACUCAUGCUCAGCGUGUGAGAAUGGGUGCCCCAGAGGGAUCACAGUGAACAAAUCUGGUUCCCACACUGGUAGUCACGGCUACCUCUACAGGACUGUCUUCUCCCCUCAAGAGCUGAAGAGUGGGGGACGGUGCUGUGGCGUAGAGAGUGAAGCCACUGUCUGCAGUGCCAGCAUACCAUGAGUGCUGGUUCAAGUGCCAGCUGCUUCACUUCUGAUCCAGCUCUGCUACAGCCUGGGAAAGUAGUGGAAGAUGGCCCAAGUCAUUGGGUCCCUGCUUCUACAUGGGAGACCUGGAAAAAGCUCCCAGCACAGCUCUGGCUGUUGCAACCAUCUGGGGAGUGGGCCAGCAGAUGGAAGACUUCUCUAGCUCCACCUUUCAAAUAAGUAAAUCUUUAAAAAAAAAAAAAAAAAGCAAAUGAGUGACAGUGAACAAGAGUUUUCUUGUCUGAGAUAGUCUAGCCAAUCAGACACCACUCUUAGUAUGCCAGUAGCAAGAGUGCUUAAGGCACACUCUUGCUUUUCCGAUCAUUUAUAGAAGGGCUCACUCUUGGCCUUUAUUUCAGAGGAGACUUGAUGAAGGGGAAGAACACUUCUUUUUGAAACUGUACCAAGAUGCUAAAAGGGCCGAACUUGCUUCACUCCCUUAUGACUCCAUCACAGACUGCCCUUAGGAUGUUAUUCUGUUUUACAGGCCCAAAGCAGCUGAAAACUCACCAUAGCCUACUCUAAGGUCAGAGUUCUCAGUGAGGAAGCGCUGACACCAGUGAUUAGCUCUGCAUCAGGCCGUACACAGUAUACAAAAGCUCAGUUAAAUCUUGUGAAGCUGUAACUCUGAUCUGGGGCUGACAGUUCUAGAAGGACCAGUGGCAGAAGUGGGAGGCAAGGCUCAAACCUCUUGGAUAUUGGUUUCUGUGUCUGGCAGUCAUCCCUUGCUCCAACAACCUGUAACCUUUAAGGCACUCUGGUCUUGUGACUUCCUGCUUGAGGCACUCGAGCCCCUACAGGGGUACAAAGCUCUCUGUGCCCACCCCAAGUACUUCUAGGUUGUCCGAGCAGACACCUGAUGGAGGUUGGUUCUUACUUGUUACUUGUGAAGGAGUCUCAGGAAUAUUCCCUUUCCUAGGUCAGAUAAGCUGGUCUGGGAGGUACUGUAAGGGACCGGUUAUCCCACCAUCUUGAACAAUCCAACAAGGCCUGGUGUAUGGAACUCCCAGGACACCCAAGAGGGCAUAUCCAGAGCUUGGGCGAUGCUCUAGGAAGGAAUCUCCAUGAGUGCCACCCUCAGACCCCAAACACCCCCUCCCAGGGGAAGGUCUUGGUCUGGCCAUCUCACUCCUCCACAAAGUGGGAGAUAGUCACAGCAUACCUGACUGCAGACCUUCAGGUUAUGUUCAGAACUGGACUAUGUUUAGUUAUAAGCCGAAAGUGAUUCUCUUGUAACACCCCUGGCCCAAUAUCGGCCCGAGAAUGAGUCUACACUCUCACACUGUUACAAUUGGACUAGUUUUGUAGAAUAGGAUUAGAUCUCACAUGUAUGAUCUUAGAACUUCACACUGACAACUCCCCUGGGGCCACUGGUACCGCCUACUUUACUACACACUCAAAAGGGAAUGAUCUUCCCCACUCCUGUAUCAUCAGGACAGGAAACAAUACCUCAGGCUGCAAAGUUGAUCAUACAAGAAAGAGGCAUGUGAGGGGAAAACCUGACAGCUCUUUUCCUUGAGUACCACCUAUCUGACCCCACGAGUCUCCAUAUAAUACUCCCAUCUUUCAGGUGCAAAAACCAGGGACAAGAUAGUUUAUGCAAGACUCAAGGACCAAUCAUUUUAGAAGAUACACAGCCCGUGGUGCCAGUUCCCUAUACUUGCUUCCCAUUGUCUGGAGAAUGGCUGGUUCGCAGACUUUAAAUAUAUAUACAGCUUUUUAUUGCAUACCCCCUCCUGAGUCCGGAGAACUAUUUACCCUCAAGCGAGAUUCAGGUACUAGUGUGAACAGUAUUGCUGGGCAGUACUCCUGCAAGAACUCAAAGACACCCAGCAUCUUUGAGAAAGGUCUAGGUAAAGAUUUAGUGGUACUACUUAACAAGGGAAUCUUACUGAUCAGAGGACACUGCUAGUAAAAAUCUCAAAUCAUAACCACCCUGAUCCUCAAUUUCCUGGCAUAGUGGGAUAUAAAAUUUUUAAAAAGGAAGACCCAAGUUCCUCAACUUGAAGAUACCUAGGCUUUGAGUAGUUUGUGUUUUCCCCAGGAGGACGGGAGGCUCUGGCUAGAGUGGUCAUGCCUAUCUACCAAGGCAUCUAUAGACUCCUGUGUAUGACUGGAUUAAGAUCUGGAUUCCCCACCUUGAACUGAUUUCCAAGCCCAUACAAAGCCUUCAAAUGCCAUGGUGAUGAGUCAUAAUUGAACUCUAGAAUCCAUGGAGUAUUCCAAAACCAUAAAGGAGAAGCUUCAGAGACUCCUGGAUUCCCAGAUGUAAGAAAGCCAUUUCAUCUUUGUGUAUGACUGACAAAGUAGGAGCCUUGAAGUACUCACAAUUUAGCCAACACCAGGAAGUCUGUUGUGAACUUGAAGCAAGUGAACAUAGUGACUUAAGGACGACGAGUUUGUCUUCCAGCAGGUGUGACAGGACCUCUUACAAGAGGCUCAGAGGUUCAGCUCGGGCCAACAUAACACAUUGCCUGUACUAUUGCUGCAUCGACUUACUUCUGGGAGAUUAAGUGCCAGACCAUGCUGUUGGGUACCCCAAGCAUGAAGCUAAUGGCAGUGCCUGAACCCAGCCAGCCUGCUUCCAAACAGAAGAGCUUAUUCUUUGACUAUUUACAAAGAAUUGAAACUUACUCUAGCAGACCCUGCCUGACUGCUCAGCCUUUGAAAAACUUAUACCUGGAGAUCUUUAUGGACAAGAGCAGCUCCAUGGACCACUAACUCUAGAUACAGUAGUGACCCAGAGGAUCAUGGAAGUUGAGGCCCUCCUGACAGUUGCCCUCUGCUCAAAAGGUAGAGCUUGUAUUCCACCCAUGGGUCUUGUACCUCAGGACAAAGCACAAGGAGAUUCUAGAAUAUACAGCUCCUUUUGACAACCACUCUGGACCAUAGGCAUAACGUUCUCCAUUUCCUAUUUAAAGGUAGGAAACUCACGAGGCAGCAAUGAGUACACCAAGGACGUUCCUAUGACAGAACAGGU
Molecule: non-coding RNA, 9978 nt
Organism: Oryctolagus cuniculus (rabbit)
Lineage: Eukaryota; Metazoa; Chordata; Mammalia; Lagomorpha; Leporidae
Source: RefSeq, a predicted model, not a curated record